This 329-nucleotide ribosomal RNA is filed under the name uncultured eukaryote. RNAcentral describes it as "partial 18S ribosomal RNA". It matches the Rfam family "Eukaryotic small subunit ribosomal RNA", at positions 1470 to 1796 of the family's 1831-position model. The record is from RNAcentral.
CCCUUAGAUGUUCUGGGCCGCACGCGCGCUACAAUGAUGAAUUCAACGAGUUUAUAACCUUGGUUGAAAAGCCUGGGUAAUCUUUUGAACUUUCGUCGUGAUGGGGCUAGACCCUUGCAAUUAUUGGUCUCCAACGAGGAAUUCCUAGUAAACGCAAGUCAUCAGCUUGCAUUGAUUACGUCCCUGCCCUUUGUACACACCGCCCGUCGCACCUACCGAUUGAAUGGUCCGGUGAAAUCUUCGGAUUGAGACUUUGUUUUCUUCACGGAAAACGCUGUUUUAAAAAGUUGAUUAAACCUUACCAUUUAGAGGAAGGUGAAGUCGUAACA